GGAGGAGCAGUAAAGGCUUGUGAAGAUCUUCAUCGGAGCUUGCAAAAAGUAGUGAAGGAUAUUGAGUCUGUUGAGGUGCGCAUCAGAGAUCUGCAAA
Molecule: long non-coding RNA, 97 nt
Organism: Ipomoea nil (Japanese morning glory)
Lineage: Eukaryota; Viridiplantae; Streptophyta; Magnoliopsida; Solanales; Convolvulaceae
Exons: 3
Source: RefSeq, a predicted model, not a curated record